RNAcentral lists this ribosomal RNA (253 nucleotides) under uncultured bacterium. RNAcentral's name for it is "partial 16S ribosomal RNA". It matches the Rfam family "Bacterial small subunit ribosomal RNA", at positions 524 to 776 of the family's 1533-position model. The record is from RNAcentral.
UACAUAGGGGGCAAGCGUUAUCCGGAAUUAUUGGGUGUAAAGGGUGCGUAGACGGAGAAACAAGUUGGUUGUGAAAUCCCUCGGCUCAACCGAGGAACUGCAACCAAAACUAUUUCCCUUGAGUGUCGGAGAGGAAAGUGGAAUUCCUAGUGUAGCGGUGAGAUGCGUAGAUAUUAGGAGGAACACCAGUGGCGAAGGCGACUUUCUGGACGAUAACUGACGUUGAGGCACGAAAGUGUGGGGAGCAAACAGG